Molecule: non-coding RNA, 81 nt
Organism: Paramuricea clavata
Lineage: Eukaryota; Metazoa; Cnidaria; Anthozoa; Malacalcyonacea; Plexauridae
Source: the annotation of a GenBank genome assembly
UGUAGGCUGUAGCUCAGUUGGUUAGAGCGCUGCACCGGAAUCGCAGUGCCCCAGGUUUGAUUCCUACCAGAGGGCCUAUAA